This 2152-nucleotide ribosomal RNA is filed under the name Salmonella enterica subsp. enterica serovar Montevideo. RNAcentral describes it as "partial 23S ribosomal RNA". It matches the Rfam family "Bacterial large subunit ribosomal RNA", at positions 711 to 2838 of the family's 2925-position model. Lineage: Bacteria; Pseudomonadati; Pseudomonadota; Gammaproteobacteria; Enterobacterales; Enterobacteriaceae. The record is from RNAcentral.
AGACCCGAAACCCGGUGAUCUAGCCAUGGGCAGGUUGAAGGUUGGGUAACACUAACUGGAGGACCGAACCGACUAAUGUUGAAAAAUUAGCGGAUGACCUGUGGCUGGGGGUGAAAGGCCAAUCAAACCGGGAGAUAGCUGGUUCUCCCCGAAAGCUAUUUAGGUAGCGCCUCGUGAAUUCAUCUCCGGGGGUAGAGCACUGUUUCGGCUAGGGGGCCAUCCCGGCUUACCAACCCGAUGCAAACUGCGAAUACCGGAGAAUGUUAUCACGGGAGACACACGGCGGGUGCUAACGUCCGUCGUGAAGAGGGAAACAACCCAGACCGCCAGCUAAGGUCCCAAAGUCAUGGUUAAGUGGGAAACGAUGUGGGAAGGCCCAGACAGCCAGGAUGUUGGCUUAGAAGCAGCCAUCAUUUAAAGAAAGCGUAAUAGCUCACUGGUCGAGUCGGCCUGCGCGGAAGAUGUAACGGGGCUAAACCAUGCACCGAAGCUGCGGCAGCGACGCUGAUGCGUUGUUGGGUAGGGGAGCGUUCUGUAAGCCUGCGAAGGUGGCCUGUGAGGGUUGCUGGAGGUAUCAGAAGUGCGAAUGCUGACAUAAGUAACGAUAAAGCGGGUGAAAAGCCCGCUCGCCGGAAGACCAAGGGUUCCUGUCCAACGUUAAUCGGGGCAGGGUGAGUCGACCCCUAAGGCGAGGCCGAAAGGCGUAGUCGAUGGGAAACGGGUUAAUAUUCCCGUACUUGGUGUUACUGCGAAGGGGGGACGGAGAAGGCUAUGUUGGCCGGGCGACGGUUGUCCCGGUUUAAGCGUGUAGGUGUGUGUUCCAGGUAAAUCCGGUUCACUUUAACACUGAGGCGUGAUGACGAGGCACUACGGUGCUGAAGCAACAAAUGCCCUGCUUCCAGGAAAAGCCUCUAAGCAUCAGGUAACAUCAAAUCGUACCCCAAACCGACACAGGUGGUCAGGUAGAGAAUACCAAGGCGCUUGAGAGAACUCGGGUGAAGGAACUAGGCAAAAUGGUGCCGUAACUUCGGGAGAAGGCACGCUGACACGUAGGUGAAGUGAUUUACUCAUGGAGCUGAAGUCAGUCGAAGAUACCAGCUGGCUGCAACUGUUUAUUAAAAACACAGCACUGUGCAAACACGAAAGUGGACGUAUACGGUGUGACGCCUGCCCGGUGCCGGAAGGUUAAUUGAUGGGGUCAGCGCAAGCGAAGCUCCUGAUCGAAGCCCCGGUAAACGGCGGCCGUAACUAUAACGGUCCUAAGGUAGCGAAAUUCCUUGUCGGGUAAGUUCCGACCUGCACGAAUGGCGUAAUGAUGGCCAGGCUGUCUCCACCCGAGACUCAGUGAAAUUGAACUCGCUGUGAAGAUGCAGUGUACCCGCGGCAAGACGGAAAGACCCCGUGAACCUUUACUAUAGCUUGACACUGAACAUUGAGCCUUGAUGUGUAGGAUAGGUGGGAGGCUUUGAAGUGUGGACGCCAGUCUGCAUGGAGCCGACCUUGAAAUACCACCCUUUAAUGUUUGAUGUUCUAACGUGGACCCGUGAUCCGGGUUGCGGACAGUGUCUGGUGGGUAGUUUGACUGGGGCGGUCUCCUCCUAAAGAGUAACGGAGGAGCACGAAGGUUGGCUAAUCCUGGUCGGACAUCAGGAGGUUAGUGCAAUGGCAUAAGCCAGCUUGACUGCGAGCGUGACGGCGCGAGCAGGUGCGAAAGCAGGUCAUAGUGAUCCGGUGGUUCUGAAUGGAAGGGCCAUCGCUCAACGGAUAAAAGGUACUCCGGGGAUAACAGGCUGAUACCGCCCAAGAGUUCAUAUCGACGGCGGUGUUUGGCACCUCGAUGUCGGCUCAUCACAUCCUGGGGCUGAAGUAGGUCCCAAGGGUAUGGCUGUUCGCCAUUUAAAGUGGUACGCGAGCUGGGUUUAGAACGUCGUGAGACAGUUCGGUCCCUAUCUGCCGUGGGCGCUGGAGAACUGAGGGGGGCUGCUCCUAGUACGAGAGGACCGGAGUGGACGCAUCACUGGUGUUCGGGUUGUCAUGCCAAUGGCACUGCCCGGUAGCUAAAUGCGGAAGAGAUAAGUGCUGAAAGCAUCUAAGCACGAAACUUGCCCCGAGAUGAGUUCUCCCUGAGACUUUAGGUCUCCUGAAGGAACGU